AGUGGCGGACGGGUGAGUAACGCGCGAGGAUCUGCCCUUAGGAUGGGGACAACAGUUGGAAACGACUGCUAAUACCCAAUGUGCCGAAAGGUGAAAGCUUUAGCGCCUGAGGAUGAACUCGCGUCUGAUUAGCUAGUUGGUAGUGUAAUGGACUACCAAGGCGACGAUCAGUAGCUGGUCUGAGAGGAUGAUCAGCCACACUGGGACUGAGACACGGCCCAGACUCCUACGGGAGGCAGCAGUGGGGAAUUUUCCGCAAUGGGCGAAAGCCUGACGGAGCAACGCCGCGUGAGGGAAGACGGCUCGUGGGUUGUAAACCUCUUUUCUCUAGGAAGAAGAACUGACGGUACUAGAGGAAUCAGCAUCGGCUAACCCCGUGCCAGCAGCCGCGGUAAUACGGAGGAUGCAAGCGUUAUCCGGAAUUAUUGGGCGUAAAGCGUCCGUAGGCGGUUUUACAAGUCUGCUGUUAAAGCGUGCAGCUCAACUGCAUAUAGGCAGUGGAAACUGUAAGACUAGAGUGUAGUAGGGGUAGAGGGAAUUCCCAGUGUAGCGGUGAAAUGCGUAGAUAUUGGGAAGAACACCGGUGGCGAAAGCGCUCUACUGGGCUACAACUGACGCUGAUGGACGAAAGCUAGGGGAGCGAAAGGGAUUAGAUACCCCUGUAGUCCUAGCCGUAAACGAUGGACACUAGGUGUUG
Molecule: ribosomal RNA, 697 nt
Filed under: uncultured Oscillatoriales cyanobacterium
Lineage: Bacteria; Bacillati; Cyanobacteriota; Cyanophyceae; Oscillatoriales
Description: bacterial SSU rRNA
Rfam family: Bacterial small subunit ribosomal RNA
Source: RNAcentral